RNAcentral lists this ribosomal RNA (2885 nucleotides) under Vibrio parahaemolyticus. RNAcentral describes it as "23S ribosomal RNA". It matches the Rfam family "Bacterial large subunit ribosomal RNA". Lineage: Bacteria; Pseudomonadati; Pseudomonadota; Gammaproteobacteria; Vibrionales; Vibrionaceae. The record is from RNAcentral.
GGUUAAGUGACUAAGCGUACACGGUGGAUGCCUUGGCAGUCAGAGGCGAUGAAAGACGUAGUAACUUGCGAUAAGCCCAGAUUAGGUAGUAACAACCAUUUGAGUCUGGGAUUUCUGAAUGGGGAAACCCACUUACAUAAGUAAGUAUCAUUAACUGAAUACAUAGGUUAAUGAGGCGAACCGGGGAACUGAAACAUCUAAGUACCCCGAGGAAAAGAAAUCAACCGAGAUUCCGAAAGUAGCGGCGAGCGAAAUUGGACUAGCCCUUAAGCUUUACACGCGUUAGACGAACGGUCUGGAAAGUCCGACGAUACAGGGUGAUAGUCCCGUAGUUGACGACGUGUGUUCAGUGAAAUCGAGUAGGGCGGGACACGUGAUAUCCUGUCUGAAUAUGGGGGACCAUCCUCCAAGGCUAAAUACUACUGACUGACCGAUAGUGAACCAGUACCGUGAGGGAAAGGCGAAAAGAACCCCUGUGAGGGGAGUGAAAUAGAACCUGAAACCGUGUACGUACAAGCAGUAGGAGCAGGCUUUGUCCUGUGACUGCGUACCUUUUGUAUAAUGGGUCAGCGACUUAUAUUCAGUGGCAAGGUUAACCAUCUAGGGGAGCCGUAGGGAAACCGAGUCUUAACUGGGCGUUCAGUCUCUGGAUAUAGACCCGAAACCAGGUGAUCUAGCCAUGGGCAGGUUGAAGGUUGAGUAACAUCAACUGGAGGACCGAACCGACUAAUGUUGAAAAAUUAGCGGAUGACUUGUGGCUAGGGGUGAAAGGCCAAUCAAACCUGGAGAUAGCUGGUUCUCCCCGAAAGCUAUUUAGGUAGCGCCUCGGACGAAUACUACUGGGGGUAGAGCACUGUUAAGGCUAGGGGUCAUCCCGACUUACCAACCCUUUGCAAACUCCGAAUACCAGUAAGUACUAUCCGGGAGACACACGGCGGGUGCUAACGUCCGUCGUGGAGAGGGAAACAACCCAGACCGCCAGCUAAGGUCCCAAAUUACUACUAAGUGGGAAACGAUGUGGGAAGGCUCAGACAGCCAGGAUGUUGGCUUAGAAGCAGCCAUCAUUUAAAGAAAGCGUAAUAGCUCACUGGUCGAGUCGGCCUGCGCGGAAGAUGUAACGGGGCUAAGUAGUAAACCGAAGCUGCGGCAAUGUGCUUUUGCACAUUGGGUAGGGAGCGUUCUGUAAGCGGUUGAAGGUGUGUGGUAACGCAUGCUGGACGUAUCAGAAGUGCGAAUGCUGACAUGAGUAACGAUAAAGGGGUGAAAAACCUCCUCGCCGGAAGACCAAGGGUUCCUGUCCAACGUUAAUCGGGGCAGGGUAAGUCGACCCCUAAGGCGAGGCCGAAAGGCGUAGUCGAUGGGAAACGGGUUAAUAUUCCCGUACUUCUUACAAUUGCGAUGGGGGACGGAGAAGGCUAGGUGGGCCUGGCGACGGUUGUCCAGGUUCAAGUGCGUAGGCUUAAGAGUUAGGUAAAUCCGGCUCUUUCUAAGGCUGAGACACGACGUCGAGCACCUACGGGUGUGAAGUCAUUGAUGCCAUGCUUCCAGGAAAAGCCUCUAAGCUUCAGAUUGUAAGGAAUCGUACCCCAAACCGACACAGGUGGUCGGGUAGAGAAUACCAAGGCGCUUGAGAGAACUCGGGUGAAGGAACUAGGCAAAAUGGUACCGUAACUUCGGGAGAAGGUACGCUCUUGAUGGUGAAGUCCCUUGCGGAUGGAGCUGACGAGAGUCGCAGAUACCAGGUGGCUGCAACUGUUUAUUAAAAACACAGCACUGUGCAAAAUCGUAAGAUGACGUAUACGGUGUGACGCCUGCCCGGUGCCGGAAGGUUAAUUGAUGGGGUUAGACUUCGGUCGAAGCUCUUGAUCGAAGCCCCGGUAAACGGCGGCCGUAACUAUAACGGUCCUAAGGUAGCGAAAUUCCUUGUCGGGUAAGUUCCGACCUGCACGAAUGGCGUAAUGAUGGCCACGCUGUCUCCACCCGAGACUCAGUGAAAUUGAAAUCGCUGUGAAGAUGCAGUGUACCCGCGGCUAGACGGAAAGACCCCGUGAACCUUUACUACAGCUUGGCACUGAACAUUGACCCUACAUGUGUAGGAUAGGUGGGAGGCUUUGAAGCACGUACGCCAGUAUGUGUGGAGCCGUCCUUGAAAUACCACCCUUGUAGUGUUGAUGUUCUAACGUCGACCCCUAAUCGGGGUUGCGGACAGUGCCUGGUGGGUAGUUUGACUGGGGCGGUCUCCUCCCAAAGAGUAACGGAGGAGCACGAAGGUGGGCUAAUCACGGUUGGACAUCGUGAGGUUAGUGCAAUGGCAUAAGCCCGCUUGACUGCGAGAAUGACAAUUCGAGCAGGUGCGAAAGCAGGUCAUAGUGAUCCGGUGGUUCUGAAUGGAAGGGCCAUCGCUCAACGGAUAAAAGGUACUCCGGGGAUAACAGGCUGAUACCGCCCAAGAGUUCAUAUCGACGGCGGUGUUUGGCACCUCGAUGUCGGCUCAUCACAUCCUGGGGCUGAAGUCGGUCCCAAGGGUAUGGCUGUUCGCCAUUUAAAGUGGUACGCGAGCUGGGUUUAGAACGUCGUGAGACAGUUCGGUCCCUAUCUGCCGUGGGCGUUGGAAGAUUGAAGGGGCUGCUCCUAGUACGAGAGGACCGGAGUGGACGAACCUCUGGUGUUCGGGUUGUGUCGCCAGACGCAUUGCCCGGUAGCUAAGUUCGGAAUCGAUAACCGCUGAAAGCAUCUAAGCGGGAAGCGAGGCCCUGAGAUGAGUCUUCCCUGAUACUUUAAGUAUCCUAAAGGGUUGUCGGAGACUACGACGUUGAUAGGUCAGGUGUGUAAGUGCUGUGAGGCAUUGAGCUAACUGAUACUAAUUGCCCGUGAGGCUUAACCAU